This 822-nucleotide ribosomal RNA is filed under the name uncultured bacterium. RNAcentral's name for it is "bacterial SSU rRNA". It matches the Rfam family "Bacterial small subunit ribosomal RNA", at positions 607 to 1432 of the family's 1533-position model. The record is from RNAcentral.
GCUCAACCUGGGAACUGCAUCCGAUACUGGCAGGCUAGAGUGCAAUAGAGGGGGGUAGAAUUCCAGGUGUAGCGGUGAAAUGCGUAGAUAUCUGGAGGAAUACCGGUGGCGAAGGCGGCCCCUGGAUUGACACUGACGCUGAGGUGCGAAAGCGUGGGUAGCAAACAGGAUUAGAUACCCUGGUAGUCCACGCCGUAAACGAUGUCUACUAGCUGUCGGGGCACUUGUUGUCUGGUAGCGCAGCUAACGCACUAAGUAGACCGCCUGGGGAGUACGGCCGCAAGGUUAAAACUCAAAUGAAUUGACGGGGGCCCGCACAAGCGGUGGAGCAUGUGGUUUAAUUCGACGCAACGCGAAGAACCUUACCUACUCUUGACAUCCAGGGAACUUUCCAGAGAUGGAUUGGUGCCUUCGGGAACCCUGACACAGGUGCUGCAUGGCUGUCGUCAGCUCGUGUCGUGAGAUGUUGGGUUAAGUCCCGCAACGAGCGCAACCCACGUUUCUAGUUGCCAGCAUUCAGUUGGGCACUUUAGAGAGACUGCCGGUGACAAACCGGAGGAAGGUGUGGAUGACGUCAAGUCAGCAUGCCCCUUACGUCCUGGGCUACACACGUACUACAAUGCUUCGGACAGAGGGUUGCCAGCCCGCGAGGGUGCGCUAAUCCCGUAAACCGAGGCUCAGUUCAGAUUGCAGGCUGCAACUCGCCUGCAUGAAGGCGGAAUCGCUAGUAAUCGCCGGUCAGCAUACGGCGGUGAAUACGUUCCCGGGCCUUGUACACACCGCCCGUCACACCAUGGGAGUUGGCCACGCCCGAAGUUGUUA